UACUAAAAUCUAAAUUUUAUCUUUGCUGCC
RNAcentral lists this non-coding RNA (30 nucleotides) under Mus musculus (house mouse). The record is from RNAcentral. Lineage: Eukaryota; Metazoa; Chordata; Mammalia; Rodentia; Muridae.